Molecule: transfer RNA, 82 nt
Filed under: Candidatus Wallbacteria bacterium
Lineage: Bacteria; Candidatus Walliibacteriota
Description: tRNA-Leu
Rfam family: tRNA
About the family: Transfer RNA (tRNA) molecules are approximately 80 nucleotides in length. Their secondary structure includes four short double-helical elements and three loops (D, anti-codon, and T loops).
Source: RNAcentral
GCGAGGGUGGUGAAACUGGUAGACACGCUAGACUUAGGAUCUAGUGGGGAAACCCGUGGGGGUUCGAGUCCCCCCCUUCGCA